AAAUUGAAGAGUUUGAUCAUGGCUCAGAUUGAACGCUGGCGGCAGGCCUAACACAUGCAAGUCGAACGGUAACAGGAAGCAGCUUGCUGCUUCGCUGACGAGUGGCGGACGGGUGAGUAAUGUCUGGGAAGCUGCCUGAUGGAGGGGGAUAACUACUGGAAACGGUGGCUAAUACCGCAUAACGUCGCAAGACCAA
Molecule: ribosomal RNA, 196 nt
Filed under: Salmonella enterica
Lineage: Bacteria; Pseudomonadati; Pseudomonadota; Gammaproteobacteria; Enterobacterales; Enterobacteriaceae
Description: partial 16S ribosomal RNA
Rfam family: Bacterial small subunit ribosomal RNA
Source: RNAcentral